AUCGAGGAUGGAGGUACGAAAGGAGACAACUCCGCUGAGAGGAGGGUUCGCCGUCCCUAUUAGAUAGAUGGGCGGGGUAACGGCCCACCAUGUCAACGAUGGGUAGCCGAGCUGAGAGGCUGAUCGGCCACACUGGAACUGAGACACGGUCCAGACUCCUACGGGAGGCAGCAGUGGGGAAUAUUGGGCAAUGGGCGCAAGCCUGACCCAGCAACGCCGCGUGAGGGAAGAAGGCUUUCGGGUUGUAAACCUCUGUCCUUGGUGACGAACCAAAUGACGGUAGCCAAGGAGGAAGCCCCGGCUAACUACGUG
Molecule: ribosomal RNA, 312 nt
Filed under: uncultured bacterium
Lineage: Bacteria
Description: bacterial SSU rRNA
Rfam family: Bacterial small subunit ribosomal RNA
Source: RNAcentral